Small nuclear RNA from Pyrus x bretschneideri (Chinese white pear), 196 nucleotides. RefSeq annotates it as U2 spliceosomal RNA. The transcript has a single exon. The record is from RefSeq and is a predicted model, not a curated record. Lineage: Eukaryota; Viridiplantae; Streptophyta; Magnoliopsida; Rosales; Rosaceae.
AUACCUUUCUCGGCCUUUUGGCUAAGAUCAAGUGUAGUAUCUGUUCUUAUCAGUUUAAUAUCUGAUACGUGAAUCAAUGAUUCACACGAUAUUAAAUUAAUUUUUUAAGGGAAAGGGUUCACCGCAAUAGCUUGCUAUUGGAACUCUUACGUGUUGCUUAAGUGUUGCACUAUUGCUUAGGCCUGGCACACCCCAC